GUUUGAAGCUGCCUGUGCCUGCGCCUGCGCCUUCUCCUGUGCUGGUGUUUGGUUUCCAGGCAGUUUUUCUGGUUCAGUCUGAAGCUUCCUAAAGAAUUCAACUGUUAGAUUGAAGUGACGGAAAACGUUUCAAUUCCUGCAUAUGGAUUCUAUUGUGAUCAGAAACAUGUCAUGUGGAAAGUUGGAGUUCAAGAGCAGCCAAAGAGACGUUCUUUUUAAACAGAUUAAAAAGUAAAGUAAGACAAACGAAUUGAAACGGGACAUUUACAAGAAGACCUUCUCCUUUACCUGUGUUUCUGCAAGUGACUUCCUCACAAGUUCUUUCAGAAUGACAUGCACCUGUAAAUAAAUAAUUUAGCAUUCAUAAGUACAGACCGCGAUAGAAACAUAAAUUAAGCAUGUUGAACCAAGUAUCUAGCUAUUAUCUUCUGUACAAAAAUCAUAUGUAUGUGUAUUCGUGUGUGUCCAUUUCAUAUCACAUCAUAAUGUUUGAUUCUAUUACAUCAA
This is a non-coding RNA of Solanum lycopersicum (tomato), 507 nucleotides long. The record is from RefSeq and is a predicted model, not a curated record. Lineage: Eukaryota; Viridiplantae; Streptophyta; Magnoliopsida; Solanales; Solanaceae.